Cavia porcellus (domestic guinea pig) is the source of this 3409-nucleotide long non-coding RNA. RefSeq lists it as uncharacterized. The record is from RefSeq and is a predicted model, not a curated record. NCBI's taxonomy places the organism in Eukaryota, Metazoa, Chordata, Mammalia, Rodentia, Caviidae. The transcript is spliced from 4 exons.
UUCAUCUUUGCCAAACAUCAAGACCGCGCCUUAGAAAUCCUCCGAGGUCUGUAGUGAGCCAGUCCCACCACCUCCUUCAGAGGGAUCUCCUGCGGUCUCUUCCUCUGCCGUUUCCUGCUUUGGUUUCUCCUGUCUGUUUCCCAUCUACUGCUCAGUUUGGUUCUGGAAGCCAAGAAAUAUCUUCCUCACUCUCCUGGAAAUCUUUCCCUUUACCCCAGAGAUGGAACUCAGAACCUUGUGCUUGUCGGCCAGGUGCUUACGCUGCUGAGCUAAUCCCCAGCCUCUCCUCUGUGGUUUACUUAGAUUCUGGAUUUCGCAUGGACGACAAACUGGGUGAUGUUUAAAAUUAUUAUUUAACUUAACGUUAUUGUCUAAAGGUGCAACUACUUUGCUACAAAUGACUCAAUUUUAUUUCUCUUUGUGGCAGAGUGUACAAACCAUCUUCCUUAACUGUCUCUCUUUUCUAGUUUUUUUUUUUUUUAAUUUUGAAAAUAGUAAAAUACGACAGAACAAGACAGAACAAAGCCAGUCGAGACAAUGCAGCAGAAUGAUACAGAACUUCACCGCAUGUGACCAGCAGUGAUGACAGGUCCCUUAGUGUAUCUCGUUAUCUUCACAAUAGUUGUCCAUUUAAUCAGGUCAGAACAAAGCAAAAACGGUGAAAACAAUAUUUGCCUUCAAAGAGAGGAUGGAAGGAAGUCCCCCAUAUUUGCUAUAUUGCACACGGUCGUCCUUCCAAGAUGCCCAGACCUCUAACGGAGCGGGGAGGAAAUGGGGGGCAGAUGGGGUGUUUGACCCUCAGCGCGGGGCCUGCGGGCGCACAGUGCUUGCCAGGAGGAGGCGGGCUGUUCCCUUUUCCAGUUUUGAUUCAUUAAUUUCUACUCUGAGCUUUAUAAGUUCCUUCCUUGUAUUCGGUUCGGAUCUGGAUUGUUCUUGUUUCUCUAGGACCUUGAUGUGUAUCAUUAGGGCAGUAUGUGGUAUAUUUCUUUUAUUAUUAUUAUUAUUAUUUGUAUUUUAUCAUUGUUUUGGCAUAUUUUUGAGACAGGGUUUCGCUGUGCAGUUCAGGCUGGCCUUGAGCUCACUGUGUAGCCCAGGCUGGUCUCAAACUAGCAACCAUCCUCCCGCCUCAGCCUCCCGAGUAGCUGGAAUUAAGGCUCAUGCUCCCAAUAUUCCUGCCUAUGGCAUGGAAUAUUGUUUCCCAUGCUUUGAUUUUUGUUCUAUUAAUUUAUUUUGGGUAUACUAUGUAUCUCUCAGACAGCAUCCUGCUGGCUUUUAAAAAAUUGUGCAUUUAUUUAUUUAGUUGUGUGCUUAUUUGUAUCUUUAUUUUGCAAUCUGUCGCUAGGAGAUGUUGGGCUCACAGGGGACGUGUCCUUGAGGUUCACCCCACUUCCUCUCUUCCUUGAGUACACUCAUCGCUGGGCGCAUGGUGAGGGGCACACGUCACAUCACCAGGGUCAGGGCACUGCCAUCCUGUCACAGGAAGACAGCUAAAUGGAGACUGACUCCAGAACCCACACCGACACCCAGAGCUUCUCUAUGCAGUUCAGAUGGCCUUGAGCUUACCGCGAUCCUCCUGCCUCAGCCUCCCGAGUGCCGGGAUUACAGGUUUGUGCCACUACACCCAGAUCACCACUUCUUACGGUGCUCUUUGUCAUGGAAAGAUCUUCUUUCUCUAUCAAUUUGGAAGAUAUUUCUCAGGACAUAUUAAUGUGGGCCGGAAGUUGUUUUCUCUUAGGGAUUGAAACAUUGCACUCCAGCCAGGGAUUUAGCUCAGCGGCAGGAGCGCCUGCCUGGCAAGCGUGAGGCCAUGAGUUCGAUCCCCGGAACCAAAAAGAAAAUGAAACAGUAACAACAGCAACAACAACAACAAAAUUUCACUCCAAACUCUCCCGGCCUUUAAGGACCCCAAUUUCCUAAAGCAUAAUUCCAAGAAUUGCAGAUGGCACUACGUGGGGUUAAAAGCUUUCUGCACAGCAGAAGAAAUAGCAAAUAGCAUGAAAAGACAACUUACAGCAUGAGAACAACACUUUGCCUGAUACUCCUCAGGCAGAGGACUAAUUAAAAUGCAGGCCACAAAGAAUUUAAAGAAUUUGAUCCUCCCAAAUAAAAGGUCUGAUCCAAAACAUGAGACAUUGAAGUGAAUGGACGCUUCUCAAAAGAAGAAAUACAAAAGAUCCAGAGGAAUCCUCAGCACGUUUGGCCACUAAAAUACAGAUCACAAUGGCAGUGAGAUUCUGUCUAAAUGCAGAAAGGAUGAUUGUCAUCAAGAAAUCAAAACUCAGAGGCCCCGCUGAGGCCUGGGAAGAAGAGCAGGUCUGCGCUGCGGGCAGCUAUGUGGGCCGUCCGGCCGCCACUAUGGGGGCCUCCUGCAGAUUCCCCAAAAGGUAAAACAGAAAUACCGUUUGAUCCAGCCGAGCCUCCUCUGGGAGUCUUCCUGAAAGAGGUAACAGUAUUAUCGUCGUGACGCAUGUGCCCCCCUGUUUAUAGCAGCACAAACCAUAACAGCUAAAUUUUGGGGGUGGCCUGUACGUCCAUCAGCAGAAGGGCAACUCUGCGUCACAGGUAGAAAAACAGACGCAUCUCGGGGUGUACUGUGGGAUUCCUGCCGUAUGAUGCUCUCAAAAGGACAAAACUGGAGACAGACGGUGAUCUGAUUUUGUUAAUUGUUCAGAUUUGGGUGCUGGAGACGGAGCCCAGGGCCGGGCAUGCACUACGCAGCUACGUUACUGCUGAGCUGUGUCCUUCUCUACGAAUUUUUAAUAUGCAUUUCCACGGCGACUGCAGUUGGGGCUCGACUCCGACAAUGAGGUAUUGUAUCAAAGGGUACAGGGCCUUCGGGGAAGCUGGGCAGGAGGAUCCCAAGUUGGAGUCAAACAUGGGUAACUUCUCAACUUACUGAGAUCCUAUCUGAAAAUAAAAAAUAAAGGCCUGAGUCAAGGCCCCGGGUUCAGUCUCCAUUGCUAAAAGAAUAAGAAGAUAAAGAUUCUUCGGCACUAAAGUGGAUUUUGUAUUAAAAUUUGGUCUUUGCUGUUAAACUUUAGUCAGGUGCGUACACCCAUGUGUAUGGUAGCACAGCUCCUCAUAGCUAAAUCCUGGAAGCAGCCUGGAUUCCCAUCACUGAGUGACUGGAUGAAGGAAACCUGGAAUACUAUGCAGCCACGAAGAGUGACAUAUGUGAGUCAUUUCCAGGAAAGUGGGUGCCCCUAAAAUAUAAUCUCGGGUAAAACCAACUGGGCACACAGGCUUAGGUGGUGACGCAAGGGGACAAGGGCGCAGGGGUGAGGGGUGAGGAGAAGGGGAUGAGAAGAAUAGAGAUAAUGCGAUGUGCAGGAGCUAAUCAUGAUCAUUGUAAGCACCACCCGCCAUCAAAUGAGCUAAGACAAAUGAUACCAGCAAGGCUGACAGGGGC